RNAcentral lists this ribosomal RNA (465 nucleotides) under uncultured Klebsiella sp. Its description in RNAcentral is "bacterial SSU rRNA". It matches the Rfam family "Bacterial small subunit ribosomal RNA", at positions 338 to 795 of the family's 1533-position model. The record is from RNAcentral. Lineage: Bacteria; Pseudomonadati; Pseudomonadota; Gammaproteobacteria; Enterobacterales; Enterobacteriaceae.
CCUACGGGCGGCAGCAGUGGGGAAUAUUGCACAAUGGGCGCAAGCCUGAUGCAGCCAUGCCGCGUGUGUGAAGAAGGCCUUCGGGUUGUAAAGCACUUUCAGCGGGGAGGAAGGCGGUGAGGUUAAUAACCUCAUCGAUUGACGUUACCCGCAGAAGAAGCACCGGCUAACUCCGUGCCAGCAGCCGCGGUAAUACGGAGGGUGCAAGCGUUAAUCGGAAUUACUGGGCGUAAAGCGCACGCAGGCGGUCUGUCAAGUCGGAUGUGAAAUCCCCGGGCUCAACCUGGGAACUGCAUUCGAAACUGGCAGGCUAGAGGCUUGUAGAGGGGGGUAGAAUUCCAGGUGUAGCGGUGAAAUGCGUAGAGAUCUGGAGGAAUACCGGUGGCGAAGGCGGCCCCCUGGACAAAGACUGACGCUCAGGUGCGAAAGCGUGGGGAGCAAACAGGAUUAGAUACCCGGGUAGUC